CACGUAGGGUGCGAGCGUUGUCCGGAAUUAUUGGGCGUAAAGAGCUCGUAGGCGGUGUGUCGCGUCGGCCGUGAAAACUUGCAGCUUAACUGUGGGCGUGCGGUCGAUACGGGCAUCACUGGAGUUCGGCAGGGGAGACUGGAAUUCCUGGUGUAGCGGUGAAAUGCGCAGAUAUCAGGAGGAACACCGGUGGCGAAGGCGGGUCUCUGGACCGGAACUGACGCUGAGGCGCGAAAGCGUGGGGAGCAAACAGG
RNAcentral lists this ribosomal RNA (254 nucleotides) under uncultured bacterium. RNAcentral describes it as "partial 16S ribosomal RNA". It matches the Rfam family "Bacterial small subunit ribosomal RNA", at positions 524 to 776 of the family's 1533-position model. The record is from RNAcentral.